GGGUGGCGUGGAAGGCGGACCGGCUGCGGACCGGGACCGUGCUGGUGGCCACGCUGGUGUCCGGGGCGAUGGCGGCGUUCGGGUUGCUGGCCACGCA
RNAcentral lists this transfer RNA (97 nucleotides) under Winogradskya humida. RNAcentral describes it as "Actinoplanes humidus tRNA-Arg". The record is from RNAcentral. Lineage: Bacteria; Bacillati; Actinomycetota; Actinomycetes; Micromonosporales; Micromonosporaceae.